Molecule: ribosomal RNA, 774 nt
Filed under: uncultured Neocallimastigales
Lineage: Eukaryota; Fungi; Neocallimastigomycota; Neocallimastigomycetes; Neocallimastigales
Description: partial large subunit ribosomal RNA
Rfam family: Eukaryotic large subunit ribosomal RNA
Source: RNAcentral
UACUAGAGUAGCACUCGCAUAUCAAUAAGCGGAGGAAAAGAAACUAACAAGGAUUCCCCUAGUAACGGCGAGUGAAGCGGGAAGAGCUCAAAUUUGAAAUCUUAAAGGGUUUCCCUUUACGAAUUGUAGUUUAAAGAAGUGUUUUCUGUUGAGGUUUUGGUAAAAGUUCUUUGGAAUAGGACAUCAUAGAGGGUGAGAAUCCCGUAUUUGACCUUUACUUUCAACUUUGUGAUACACUUUCAAAGAGUCGGAUUGUUUGGGAAUGCAGUCCAAAAUGGGUGGUAAAUUUCAUCUAAAGCUAAAUAUUGGCGAGAGACCGAUAGCGAACAAGUACCGUGAGGGAAAGAUGAAAAGAACUUUGAAAAGAGAGUUAAACAGUACGUGAAAUUGUCAAAAGGGAAGCGUUUGACACCAGUGUUGUUUUUCUGAAAAUCAAUUAAAGAACUGUUUAUGCUAAGCUGUUUAGACUUUAUCAGCUAUCUGUUUAGUUUUGAGCUUUUCUUUAAUGCACUUUUCAGUUAACAAGUCAACAUCAAUUUCUUUUGCUGUAAAAAAGCUUGAGGAAGGUGGCUUGAGAUUCGUCUUAAGUGUUUAUAGCCUCUUGCCUAUGCAGUCGGAGAGAUUGAGGUCUGCAGCGUAGAUCCUUCGGGGCUAAAUGCAUUUGUGCUAAGUUAUAGCAUUUCAUAGACAACUUGUUGACUAUGAUUUGUCUUGUAGCUUACUCGCUUAUGUUAUUUUACCUACGCUUAGGAUGUUGAGUCAUCACACAUCUCU